AUACAACUGGCGAGUCCCAAAUAGGACGAAACGUGCGUCCUGGAU
Molecule: non-coding RNA, 45 nt
Organism: Schistosoma rodhaini
Lineage: Eukaryota; Metazoa; Platyhelminthes; Trematoda; Strigeidida; Schistosomatidae
Source: Rfam